GGUGUCUGUGCGAACAGGGUGCUGCCUCCGCCCUGCCCGGGGGUGUGGGCCGGGAUGGGGCUGAGUGACACGGCGGGGGCGCGAAUGGUUGUAAGCAUUUUGCUGCGGAAUCCUGCUGUGAUCAUCCUACCGCUCCAUGACUCGAGCUUAAUCGACUGGAGACUUCAACUCUGCUCUCCAGGAUUAUCAUGAGUUUCUAAAAUGCUGAGGUGCUGUCAGUGGAAGAAGUCUACCUGGGCAUUGUGAGAAAUCAGGUUGUGAUUUGUGUCAAUCGAAUAGCACCCAUCUAUGUAUGUGUGUCUGGGCAAUGCACACAGAGACCAUGGGAUUAUUAUAAAGAAGUUUUAAGAAUCAGCUAAAGUAAGGCAUGGAAGUAAGGUAUAACAAAGCAACUAUAUAACAGUAAACUUCUAGCUAACAGUUUGUUUUAACAACAAAAUUGUAAUUAUCUACAAGUAAUUAAUAUAAGCUUUAAACUACCUUGUAGUAUAAGUUUCAAACUAUUCUUUGUACAAGCUAUAAAUUGGUUUUUUUUUGAGUAUAGAAGAAUUUCUAAACACUUAAAAAGGGGAAGUAAGACUAACAUGAGCUGAGAGGCAUUUUUAAACAUGCUUAUUUUAAGUUUUGUAAUAACUGAGAAAGAGGCCCUAUGACGACAUUUUUUUACACAUGCUGGCUGUAAGUUGUGGAAUGACUGAAAGAGGGCUUGCAAAAUGUAUGUUAGCAGAAUAUAAAUAUACUUUCUUAGACAAACUGUAUAACCAAAAUAAUGCUAGUGGAAAAAAGAUAUUUUAGAAGAAUAGGAGGCUGAAGAGACAUCAGAAGACCAUCUCAGACCACCUCAACAACAGAGCUUCAAAAACCACAACUGCUGAUUAUGAAGAAAAGCAAGUAGAAAGUAAUUGAAAGUUUGAGGAAGUGAAGUGCCUAGAAUGGUAUAAGAAGACUACCACGUGAACCCUGAAUUUGUGCGUUGCUUAGGGCAGUUACCCUCACACAGUGCUGUAAAAUUUGCUCACCUUUUAUCGAUCAAAUUAGUAAAUUUGCUAUAUUGCUUCACGUAUUGGCAAGUCUAGCUUUUCAUUUAUAAGAGCAUCACCAGCACUCUUUGACACAACUACUUGCUUUGGGGAAUUCUUUCCUAACUAAGUUCCAUCAACAUGAGACAGAUAAAAUGCUGUGAAUAGUAGUUCUUUGUUACUCUAAUC
Poecile atricapillus (Black-capped chickadee) is the source of this 1208-nucleotide long non-coding RNA. RefSeq lists it as uncharacterized. The record is from RefSeq and is a predicted model, not a curated record. Lineage: Eukaryota; Metazoa; Chordata; Aves; Passeriformes; Paridae. The transcript is spliced from 3 exons.